This 81-nucleotide transfer RNA is filed under the name Singulisphaera sp. RNAcentral describes it as "tRNA-Leu". It matches the Rfam family "tRNA". Rfam says of the family: Transfer RNA (tRNA) molecules are approximately 80 nucleotides in length. Their secondary structure includes four short double-helical elements and three loops (D, anti-codon, and T loops). Lineage: Bacteria; Pseudomonadati; Planctomycetota; Planctomycetia; Isosphaerales; Isosphaeraceae. RNAcentral also lists the same sequence under 3 other names. The record is from RNAcentral.
GCGAGAGUGGUGGAACGGCAGACACGCAGGAUUUAGGUUCCUGUGCCGCAAGGCGUGAGGGUUCAAGUCCCUCCUCUCGCA